This 386-nucleotide long non-coding RNA is filed under the name Mytilus galloprovincialis (Mediterranean mussel). Lineage: Eukaryota; Metazoa; Mollusca; Bivalvia; Mytilida; Mytilidae. The record is from RNAcentral.
UCCCUUGUUAUACUGACAAAUGUAAUAUACCCAUUGAAAAAUACAUGUUUUCGCGCCUAUUACAAAUUUUCAUGCCACAAGAAAUUGCCUACAGAAAUUACCAACUGAUAAGCCAUUCGUGUAAUUAAAAUAUACAAAAAGCUUGUUAAUUUAAAACAUUCAUUUAAAUAGCUUAAAACCUUUACGGGUUUCUACAAUCCCAUAUGCCCUCCUUAGGCACAAUUUAUACUUUUUUUUUUGCAGCAUAUUGCAAUCAUUUAUGAUACAUCAUGUGUAUCGUACAUCAAUAUACCAUCAACGUACUUUUUCAAUGUACAAAAAUUACAAAGAUAAACUAUUUAACUGUAACUUUUGUUUUCAAAAUAUAGCAGCAAAUGCAGCAUAUU